Molecule: small RNA, 27 nt
Filed under: Bombyx mori (domestic silkworm)
Lineage: Eukaryota; Metazoa; Arthropoda; Insecta; Lepidoptera; Bombycidae
Description: ovarian small RNA-37048
Source: RNAcentral
UUCAUAGUGAAGGGAACUGUUUUGAGC